RNAcentral lists this long non-coding RNA (289 nucleotides) under Monodelphis domestica (gray short-tailed opossum). Its description in RNAcentral is "lncRNA (ENSMODG00000037067.1)". Lineage: Eukaryota; Metazoa; Chordata; Mammalia; Didelphimorphia; Didelphidae. The record is from RNAcentral.
AGGGGAGGGCAAAGGAGAGAGGCAAAAGAUCAUAAGAUCAUAGCCUUUAAUUAUUCAACAUAAAGUUAACCUUCUUUUCUCAUCCUCAUUUCUAUUUUCCAAUAAAUUGUGAGUGAUGGGGAAUUCAGGCAAGAGUUCAUCUGCAGAGAUAUUUGAUCCAGAACAACAAUCUCUCCUUCACUGGCUUUCAAAUUAUAAACUCGCAGCAGAAUCUUGGAAGAUGUUGUCUCAGGGUACAGUGGUAAUGCUGCCCCUGUUUUUCAGCAGUUUCUUCAAAGACCCUGACUGA